Molecule: long non-coding RNA, 1043 nt
Filed under: Callithrix jacchus (white-tufted-ear marmoset)
Lineage: Eukaryota; Metazoa; Chordata; Mammalia; Primates; Cebidae
Description: lncRNA (ENSCJAG00000084154.1)
Source: RNAcentral
GUUGUUCAGGUUUUUGACUAUUUGUAGUACAAAGCGUUCCUAGAGACUCUCUUAAAAAUAUUUUUUUGAGGGAAUAAACAGGAUAGUGACUGGGACAUAGGAUUUGAAAUUUACAGGAAGUUGUUUUGUUUUGUUUUGUUUGAAGAUUUGGGUAUUUGUUUACAUUUUAUUUUUCAUUUUAGGAAGAAAAAAAUCUGCACUAACUUGUAAGGUGAAGAGAAGGAAUCAACAAACAGGAAGAAAUGAAUGUAUAGGAAAGCAAGAUAUGCAUGAUGAAGAAAAGUCCUAGAUAAGACUAAGUGAUGGACAGUACAGGAGAAGGGAAAAAGAAGGAAAAGCAGACACAGUGAGGCUUCAGACUCCUUGGAGCUCAGAUCAAAUGUAUCAGAUCCGACAAGCCUGAGGCCAGCCCUGAAGGACAGAGACAAUACGAUGGUGCAGCCUAAUAAAUGCCUCAAAACCUGCUCUGUCUCAUUCAAAACUAGCAUUUUACACAAGGCAGUUCCAUCUAUAUUUAAAAUGAUGUGAUUUGGACACAUUUAAUUCUGCAUUCCCAUACUCAUACCAUUAAUAAGGCCACUUGGAUGGUUCAGGGUGAGCUACAGCUAAGAUCUAGCCCUGCAACUACCUAGGUCUGUACCCAUAUAUUGAAAGACUCUGAACUCACUACAAAAGUGAAGUGGUUGAUCAUUGAGCUGCCCUUCCAAAGGUCAUCCCAGUGUACCCUAUGAUCUUCCCAACCAAUUCUCCCUGCUUCCAAGACUAUUACAGCAUAUACCCCUUCAAAUCACAAACUUACUUAGGACCCACCUCAAGAUAGAGAAAUGAAAUUGAGCACGGUACGGUUCCUGUCCUCACGGAAAAUACAGAAAGUUGAACAGCUGAUUACAAUGCAGUUCAAUUUCAUAGAUGUAUAAACUCCUUCUACUCUUGCCUUAACUCUGGAGCAGAAUUAGCAAAAACAAGAUUCUUCUGGAUGCUUGCUUCUCUGAGAAGGUGGAUGCUAAUUUAGAUUCAACCUGAAGCUCUUGGAGUGACCCCAG